Long non-coding RNA from Nicotiana tabacum (common tobacco), 3862 nucleotides. RefSeq lists it as uncharacterized. The record is from RefSeq and is a predicted model, not a curated record. NCBI's taxonomy places the organism in Eukaryota, Viridiplantae, Streptophyta, Magnoliopsida, Solanales, Solanaceae.
AGUCGGGUUUAUGCAAAAUAUUACGAAGGGUAUAGGUAGUUACAACACAUAUUGGGUGACAUUGGAAAUAUGGUUUAAAUUUUCUAGAGGCACUUAUUAAAGCACGCGGUAAUCUCUCUAAGUGUGGGUAUCGGGUAUCGGCCUCACCUAAGGUCCGUCUAACAUAGUAAACAGGAAAUUGCAUACCUUUCUCUUCUCGAAACAGGACCCUAUUUAUCGCUAUUUUCAAGAUCGCCAAGUAUAAGUAGAGUUGCCUGUACGCAUUCGGGGUGAAGCAGUGGAGGACUUGACAUGUAUCGUUUUAGUUAUUCUAAGGCUUGUUGGCAUUCCGGUGUCCAUGUGAAAUUUCUCUUUUUCUUAAGCAGUGAGAAGAACCAGUGACUUCUAUUUGAGGACCUCGAUUAAAAUCGGAUAACAAUUAAACUUAUAAGUGGUUUUAAGGAUACGUAAAUUUACCUAGUACCAAUUGAUAAAUAUGAUGAUUAAUAAUAGAAAUAAACAACAAAGUAAAGCAAACCAGUAUAGAAAUGCGAUUCAGCUCUCGAGCUAGGUCGCCCUCGAAUUGAGUGAGAGUAGGGUUAUGAAAUAAACUGAUGGACAAGAGAGUGUAAGAGAAAAAGAGUAUUGUAUUGCUUUGACAUGCGUCAAUAUAAGAUGAUUACAAAUGGUUAAGACCCUUUUUAUAUAGUAGAAGAAUUCUAUUUACGGUAUGGAUCUAAUUACAGAAGGAAAUCUCAUGAUUAGCUAAACAACCGCCCUUGAUUUGAUCUGUUCCGAGAUUUCUGCCAUGAUCUUCGACCAGUCAUGGAUAUCUCGCCUUUUCUUUGUCAUGCUAUCUUCGGUCUUGCUCGAUGUCUAUCCCGUUCGACCUCGAUCAUUACCGAUCUCGAUCUCAACAAGUACCUCAAAUCCCGAACUCGUUACUUUAUCCUCAUGUAUCGGUCUGAUAUGUUAUGGGGCUGAUCCUCGAUCCAUCCCUUGGUCUCGGUUAAUCAGUGAAAUCGGGUGGGCCUAAUUUUAACCGUAUACAGAUAGUCCCCUCAUUUUUUGGAAUGUAAUGAUAAGAAACGAAUUGUAUUUUCGAACUGGACCUUGGUUCACCAUUACGUAAGCAUUGUGACGUAGGCAGCAGAGGUGACCAUAACGGUCAUAUCGGAUCAAUUUCCUAGGCAAUUAAGGUGCGUCAGUUGUCGGUCGACCACUAGCAACUUUGAACUAUCGCUGUGAAACCCAUAAAUAGGCCUCUUUUCGACUCUUUCAAACUUUACUUUAAUCUCUUCUGCUAUAAUCUUCAAAGCUCUUUGCAUUCUUCAAGUUCUACUGCAAAUCUUCAAGUUUCACUGCUAGCCUCUUCUGAAAACACCAGAUAUCCUAACCCUUGUUCUUCCUCGUUCUAAAAAAUGGAUAAGACCUCUAAAACUAUCCCUCACAAAAAAACCGCCUCUUCAUCAAAAUUCGCCGCCGGCGCCGCCACUGCGGUGGAACAGCCCCUUGCGGACUUCGUUUCGAUGAAGUGUGCCACUACUACUGAUUUCAAGGUGGAGAACACAUCCUCGACACAAGACCGAUGUGAAGCCGUGUCGAGGUACAUGUGUACGAUCACCGAACGUCUCCUCGAGAAGGUGAAAAAGGAGUGCAACUGGGUAGACAAUGAUGUAGUAGUGCCCAGUCCAGAAGAAUCCAUCACAACUUACAAAGAGGGGUAUCUGAGUGUCUAUACCUCCCCUUCACGACAAGCCCCCUAGAUUCCAUCAUCGUUGCCUUUGGCAAGAGAUGCAAUGUCACUUUGGGCCAAAUCCACCCGUCGUUUUGGAGGAUCGUGAUCCUCCUCCGAUUCUUAAAGCAAGAUCGAGGGGCAUCCUUUUACCCUCAAUUACUUCAUCCGUCUCUACGACCCCCGGCGUUAUCGUUGAGGCAUGAUCAAGCUUUAUCGCCUAGCCGCUAAACCACCGUUCUCGAGCAUAGAUGAGACUUGAGGCCGAGGUUGGAUGGGCAGGUUUGUCCGAAUAAAGACUUCGGAUUUAAUCUCUGCCGCAGAUAUGUCGCACCCUGAAAAGUGGAAUAUGAAACCUAUGGCCGUUGUGCCAGAAGUGAUCCCCGACCUGAGGCAAUGGGUCGAGGGAUUGGUGUCACAAAAAAAUUAUUCUGAGUGUGCUUGGAUGGAGUUGUCAAAGCGCCGAUGGGAGGCCCGUAACCAUGGCCUUAAGAAGGACGUGCCAAUGAGGCCCCCCUCUGCUGAAUAAGAGGCACUCCUUUCCCCGUGUGCCCCGAAGCAGGGCAAAGAGAAGAAAAGAAUGGAGGCUCUGAGUUCCCCAAGCCCAGAAAAGAAAAGGACGGUCGGGAAGCCCCGUAAUCAUAAGGGGGAUGUUAUCCAUGUAACUCUGGAAUCGGCCCAAUAGAUAAUGGGCGAGACCGAAGACAAAGACGAAGAAGAAGAAAGCUCUGGGUUGGUGGCUCGUGUGCGAGCUGGCACCGAGGUUUAAAGUAUCGUUGGACAGGCAAAAACCGAAGCUGCUUUGCCCCGGCCUAACAAGCCCGAGCUAGAAAGAGUUGAAGAUGCCUCACCUCGAGGUGGGGGGGCCACCGAGGAGGCGGUCAAGGCUGGUGUAGAAACCAAGCUCGAGGCUCCCGGGAAUGAAGAUGAUGCGUCUAAAUACCCACUUGGGGCAAUAGUGAUCGGGGACUACUCCUCAUUCCCUCCAGUUUCGGAUUCGAUGAUACGCGACACUCAGGCUGCAGAUACUUCUCACGGAGAGGGGGCCUACGAAGAUGAAGAUUUUUUUCGCGGCUAUUUUGCUCAUGUGGAAGAUAUCACUGGUUUGGGUGAUUUGGACGUACUAAGGAAGAGCUCAAAUGAGGCUUCCUCGAGCUAUACACUGACCAACCAAUUUCCGCCCCCCAGUGUUUACCCCGAUAGUAAGAAGCCUCUUAUUAUCUCGAUCCCAGAAGAUACUUAAGUUUUCUCUGCCCUCAUAGGGGUGGCGAGCUAUCUCCAAUACAGUGUUUGUUCAAUGAGGCCCAGCAUGCUCUAAAUCGGCUUCAGUACUGCAUCAUGAGGCCUUUCUCCCAAUCCGAGAGGAAUGCAAGGUCGAACUCUAGUGUCUCAUUGAGAAAUGCAAUACCUAAAAUCUUCUCACUGAGAAGCUUCGGGUAGACAUAGUGGAGGAUCGAAAUGCGCAUGAAGAGAUGGUCGAGCAGGUUCGACAGAGGCUCGAACAGAUCAAGGGCCUCCAAGGGAAAAUAGAUAAAGUGCGAGCCGAAGCCAAACAUUUCAAAGGAUGUAUGGAUAUUUUGGUUGCACAAAAGGAAACCAUUCAAGCUGAGCUGAAUUCGGCCAAGUCACAGCUUUGAUAUGCAAGAGAGAAUUCCUUGGUUGAAGCGAAGAAGGUUGAGGAAAUCGAGUCCAAUUUAGCCAGUUUAACUAAAGAGCUUGAGGUUGCCAGAUCUGAAGCGGCCAAGACAAAUACUAAGGCCAGGCUACUGCGGCUUAAUGCAAAGUCGAUGCCGAAGCCACCCCCGAGCAAUCCAAGGGUAUGGUGGAUAAUUCGAAGUGGCAGUCCCGAAUGGAGGCUCUCGGGGGGUAAUUGCCCAAAGUUUUGACAUAGCUGGCGAACUCGAGAUCGCCAAGGCUUGGAAGCAAAGGCUUGGAAGCUAGCAUUUCCCGACGAGGAUUCCAAGAAUGUGGGCGGAUCUGGUGGAGAAGACCUCGAGGGUGAAGAAGCUUCCUCUGAUAAUGAUCGUGCUGAUUAGGCCUAGUAAUUUUUGUUUUUUAUUUAAGGCUGAUCGGUCUUUGUAAAUAAUGUUUGAUUGGUCCAUGUGGCCCUUGUAAGAAAAAUUUUAAUAUAUAAAAACUUUUUCCUUU